UUCAACUGGGUAAUGAUUCUAGUUUUUGAACCAUUUUUAUAGGUUUGAAAACUCUUCUAUAUUCAUAGCUCCUUAAUGGUGGAAAAUUAGCCUUUGAACUGGCUGAUGCCAUUCAAAUAAGGUUUCUAUCUGAUAUCUGUGAUGAACACAAAUUGUUUCAUUCCUUUUUCUGCAUUGAGUCAAGUAUAUGCUUUACAAACACCUCAUCUCUGGCUGUAUCACAGUUAACCUUUCAUUACUUGUAUUACUUCAAAGGUUUAUUGGAGAGAUUAUAAAAUAAGCUUUACUAUUAAUUGUAAUCUAACAGUUACUAAUAUUGCAUUCAAGGGGAGAAAUCAGGACUGGUUCUGAUAUUUUUCAGAGAUUAAAUUGCUACUAUACUUGCAUGAUGUUCUCAUAAAUUUCAAUUCUGUGCAGGUAUUUUCAG
This 427-nucleotide unclassified non-coding RNA is filed under the name Hevea brasiliensis (rubber tree). Lineage: Eukaryota; Viridiplantae; Streptophyta; Magnoliopsida; Malpighiales; Euphorbiaceae. The record is from RNAcentral.